This 1075-nucleotide ribosomal RNA is filed under the name Staphylococcus capitis. RNAcentral's name for it is "bacterial SSU rRNA". It matches the Rfam family "Bacterial small subunit ribosomal RNA", at positions 37 to 1096 of the family's 1533-position model. The record is from RNAcentral. Lineage: Bacteria; Bacillati; Bacillota; Bacilli; Caryophanales; Staphylococcaceae.
GUGCGGCGAGCUAUACAUGCAAGUCGAGCGAACAGACGAGGAGCUUGCUCCUUUGACGUUAGCGGCGGACGGGUGAGUAACACGUGGAUAACCUACCUAUAAGACUGGGAUAACUUCGGGAAACCGGAGCUAAUACCGGAUAACAUGUUGAACCGCAUGGUUCAACAGUGAAAGACGGUCUUGCUGUCACUUAUAGAUGGAUCCGCGCCGCAUUAGCUAGUUGGUAAGGUAACGGCUUACCAAGGCAACGAUGCGUAGCCGACCUGAGAGGGUGAUCGGCCACACUGGAACUGAGACACGGUCCAGACUCCUACGGGAGGCAGCAGUAGGGAAUCUUCCGCAAUGGGCGAAAGCCUGACGGAGCAACGCCGCGUGAGUGAAGAAGGUCUUCGGAUCGUAAAACUCUGUUAUUAGGGAAGAACAAAUGUGUAAGUAACUAUGCACGUCUUGACGGUACCUAAUCAGAAAGCCACGGCUAACUACGUGCCAGCAGCCGCGGUAAUACGUAGGUGGCAAGCGUUAUCCGGAAUUAUUGGGCGUAAAGCGCGCGUAGGCGGUUUUUUAAGUCUGAUGUGAAAGCCCACGGCUCAACCGUGGAGGGUCAUUGGAAACUGGAAAACUUGAGUGCAGAAGAGGAAAGUGGAAUUCCAUGUGUAGCGGUGAAAUGCGCAGAGAUAUGGAGGAACACCAGUGGCGAAGGCGACUUUCUGGUCUGUAACUGACGCUGAUGUGCGAAAGCGUGGGGAUCAAACAGGAUUAGAUACCCUGGUAGUCCACGCCGUAAACGAUGAGUGCUAAGUGUUAGGGGGUUUCCGCCCCUUAGUGCUGCAGCUAACGCAUUAAGCACUCCGCCUGGGGAGUACGACCGCAAGGUUGAAACUCAAAGGAAUUGACGGGGACCCGCACAAGCGGUGAGCAUGUGGUUUAAUUCGAAGCAACGCGAAGAACCUUACCAAAUCUUGACAUCCUCUGAUCGCCUCUAGAGAUAGAGUCUUCCCCUUCGGGGGACAGAGUGACAGGUGGUGCAUGAUGUCGUCAGCCUCGUGUCGUGAGAUGUUGGUUAGUCCCGCACGAG